UCCACUCUUUUAUGUCCUUCGAAGCCUGCCAUGAAUGGAUAAUGCAGCAGAGCCAGAGCAAGCAAUGGAGGAGGAUGACUCCUAGCACAAGGAGGCCAAAAAUUCAUCUCUUCCAAAAGGGAUGGUAACUAGCACAAGUACUGUGUGGGAAUGCAUGGCAAUAGGAGGUUUGUUCUUGUUAUCAGCAUCGCUAAAUGGGCCCUGGGACUAAUCAAAACCCAGAAACUAUUUGGGCAACUUGACAUGAAUCUGCAAACAACCAUAAAUAUUUGUAGAGUUAAAGCCAGAAUGGUAUUUGCCCAUAUCUAUCCUUGUUUCUUUCUUGCUCUCUUCACUUGCCCUUAAGUUGUCUAGUCUUAUCAGUUAACCUGAGC
This 374-nucleotide long non-coding RNA is filed under the name Gossypium barbadense (sea-island cotton). RNAcentral describes it as "long non-coding RNA (GBAR_LNC005038)". The record is from RNAcentral. Lineage: Eukaryota; Viridiplantae; Streptophyta; Magnoliopsida; Malvales; Malvaceae.